Amphiprion ocellaris (clown anemonefish) is the source of this 752-nucleotide long non-coding RNA. NCBI's taxonomy places the organism in Eukaryota, Metazoa, Chordata, Actinopteri, Pomacentridae. The record is from Ensembl.
UCGUCCAUAGUUUGUUGCUUCCCUCUGGGCUCUGAUUUCCACAGUUUCUCUCUGUUUUGGAUUCCCUCAACACUCUACAUUUGGACUUAGUUUUUCCCUUCCUGGAUUCUGCAGUUUGAUUCUGUUUGCCCCUGGAUUGCCCCAACCUACUGCCCCCUCUGUUGCCAGUUACCCCCCCGUCUUGUGUGGUUCAGCAGUGCAGUGGCUGCAGCAGGAGAUCCUCAUCACUAAUCAUCAUCAGCCUGGAGCAGGAGCAGGAGUUCUGGUUCCACCUGUUCCUGCUGGUUCCUACAGAUUCCGUCAUCAGCUCCAGUUCUGGUGCCAUUCAGCGUCCUGGAAAUCACUCAUCUGUGUUGUUUCUACCUCAUGGUGUUCCUCCACACUCUCCUGCUGCUGCAUCUCGACAACCACCACCUGGACACCGGCCUGCAGCCUAGAACUACCUUCCUCCACGGUUGUGUACCCAGUCCGAGCAUCUCAUAAUUGUUUUUUGUGAGUUAAUUCAAGUUUCGCAGUUUCGUGUACCCGUUAGUUUCCUGGUUUAGUUCCUAGUUCUAGUAAUCAAGUAAUUUUGAGUUAUUGUCUUUCUUGCCUGGGUGUUACCCAACCUGAGUUAGUUUAUUAGAAUUUUGUAGUGAAUCCUCCUCACCUAUAGUAGUCGCCAUAGGUUGGCAAUCUAUUUUCGUUGAUGUACUUCCUGUUGUAGUUCUCAGCUUACGAUUUGUAGUUCCUCUAAGUUUUUGUAAAUAAAC